AUGGCAAUAAAGUGGGCCCUGGAGGAAUGGUGGCAGUGGCUCUUGGGGACCACCGACCCUUUUCUGAUCUGGACCGACCACCAGAAUCUCAUCCACCUUCAGACCGCCCGUCAGCUCAAUCCUCGUCAGGCUCGGUGGGCCCUCUUUUUCGAGCCAUACAAUUUCCAUAUCGCCUACCGGCCCGGCUCCAAGAACCUCAAGGCGGACGCCAUCUCUCGGAGUUUUGCACCCGAUUCAAGCCCCCCGGAGCCUCUGACCAUUCUGUCGGCUCAACGCUUCCUAGCCUCUCUCCAGUGGCCAUUGGUACAAGCCAUAAGGGCCGUACUUCCUGGCGAUCCGGCGCCCCCAGAGACUCCCCCGAAUCGCCUCUAUGUUCCAACCUCCUGCCGACAAGAGGCACUCACGUGGGGGCAUUGUUCACGGCUCGCUGGACAUCAAGGCCAAGCCCGCACCCUCCAGUUCCUCCGUCGGGCUCUCUGGUGGCCUUCUAUGAGGAGGGAUGUCCGCGAGUUCACUGCUGCAUGUGAUGUGUGUGCUCGAUCCAAGUCAUCUAACCUAUCCGGCGCUGGAGAUUUACAACCCCUCCCUGUGCCCAAGUGGCCGUGGUCGCACAUCGGGCUGGAUUUUGUCACGGAUCUGCGGGCCGUCGACCGCCUGGACACCAUUCUCACCAUCACGGACCGUUUCUCCAAGGCCGUGCACUUGGUGGUCCUGGCCGGCCUCCCCACUGCCAAGAGAACGGCCGAACUGCUCCUCGAACAGGUGGUGCGACUCCAUGGUUUCCCCCAGGACGUGGUUUCCGACCAGGGUCCUCAGUUCGUCUCACGCUUCUGGAAGGCUUUCUGUCGCCUGGUCGGCACUUCCACCAGCCUGUCCUCUGGGUACCAUCCGCAGACGAACGGUCAGACAGAGAGGGCUAACCAGCAGCUUGGACGCUACUUGCUCUGCUUCGCUUCGUCCCAGCCGACCACCUGGCCCCGCUUCCUCCUAUGGGCGGAACUGUCGCACAACCUCCAGUCCUCCUCUGCCACGAGUCUGUCUCCCUUCGAGACCUGUUACGGUUAUCAGCCUNUACCAGCCCCCUCUGUUCGACCAUCAGGUGCCUGA
RNAcentral lists this long non-coding RNA (1107 nucleotides) under Nothobranchius furzeri (turquoise killifish). RNAcentral's name for it is "lncRNA (ENSNFUG00015018107.1)". The record is from RNAcentral. Lineage: Eukaryota; Metazoa; Chordata; Actinopteri; Cyprinodontiformes; Nothobranchiidae.